AAAUGCACAUGGAAAUAUACAUUCUCUGUUUUAAUUAAUAUGAUUGUAUGUAACUCAAAGGAGAACACAAAUAGGAUGAACAACAACAUAGGUAAAGUUUCAAACAUUGACAAGGUGAUACUAACCUCCUAGAUUCAAUGAAAACAACAACUUUAUUCAAUCAGGUGUCAAAAUAAAAGGAAAACAUCAGAAGAACAAACUCAGUUCUUCGACUGUUUGGCAAUCUUGAACCACUCGGUAUGGAAAGCCCCUGGGACAUCAAUCCUCUCGUAAGUAUGAGCACCAAAGUAAUCCCUUUGAGCUUGAACCAAAUUGGCAGGCAGACUUUCCCUUCUGUAUGAGUCAAAGUAGGCAAGACUUGAAGACAUACCCGGUGUGCUAAUGCCUGAGUUUAUGGCUAGGCAGACUACUCUACGCCAAGCAGACUGACGUUCAACCAUCUCUUUUGCAAACUCUUCAUCCACCAGUAGGUUAGCAAGAUCAGGGUUUCUGUCAUAAGCCCCCUUGAUCCGGUCUAAAAAUAUAGCCCGGAUAAUACAACCACCCUUCCAAAUCCUAGCAAGCUCCCCUAGUUUCAAGUCCCAUCCUUUUUCAACACUCUUUGCCCUUAUCAAAUUCAUGCCUUGAGCAUAGCUACAUAUUUUGGAUGCAUAAAGUGCCUUUCUCACAUCGUCAAUCAAUUGAUUCUUGUCCACGGACUGCUCAACAAAGAUAUCACUAACCCCGCUAGAUUCAAAUACUUUGGCUGCUUCAACUCUUUCAUCUUUUAACCCACUAAGGAAUCUUGAAUCCAAUGAUGCAGCUAUUGUGGGUGCAGCAACUGACAAUUCAGCGGCUUGCUGAACAGUCCAUUUACCAGUACCUUUCAUCCCAGUUUUAUCCAAAACUUUGUCCACCAAAUAUCCGUCUGCUUUAUCAUCCUUGACUCCAAAUAUAUCAGCUGUGAUUUCAAUCAAGAAACUCAAAAGCUCUCCUUUGUUCCACUCUGAGAAGACUUGAUGUAAUUCAUCGUUAGAGAGCUUGCCCACCGAUCUUAGUACAUCAUAAGCCUCUG
RNAcentral lists this unclassified non-coding RNA (1054 nucleotides) under Hevea brasiliensis (rubber tree). The record is from RNAcentral. Lineage: Eukaryota; Viridiplantae; Streptophyta; Magnoliopsida; Malpighiales; Euphorbiaceae.